UACGUAGGGGGCGAGCGUUGUCCGGAAUUAUUGGGCGUAAAGAGCGUGUAGGCGGUUCGGUAAGUCUGCUGUGAAAACCCGGGGCUCAACCCCGGGCGUGCAGUGGAUACUGCCGGGCUAGAGGGCGGUAGAGGCGAGUGGAAUUCCCGGUGUAGCGGUGAAAUGCGCAGAUAUCGGGAGGAACACCAGUAGCGAAGGCGGCUCGCUGGGCCGUUCCUGACGCUGAGACGCGAAAGCUAGGGGAGCGAACAGGAUUAGAUACCCUGGUAGUCCUAGCCGUAAACGAUGGGCACUAGGUGUGGGGGGAGUCGAAUCUCUCCGUGCCGCAGCCAACGCGUUAAGUGCCCCGCCUGGGGAGUACGGCCGCAAGGCUAAAACUCAAAAGAAUUGACGGGGGCCCGCACAAGCAGCGGAGCAUGUUCUUUAAUUCGAUGCAACGCGAAGAACCUUACCUGGGCUUGACAUGGCGCUGCAAGCGCACGGAAACGUGUGACCUUCGAGGGUGCGCCACAGGUGCUGCAUGGCUGUCGUCAGCUCGUG
RNAcentral lists this ribosomal RNA (540 nucleotides) under Rubrobacter sp. enrichment culture clone BF64A_C25. RNAcentral describes it as "bacterial SSU rRNA". It matches the Rfam family "Bacterial small subunit ribosomal RNA", at positions 524 to 1064 of the family's 1533-position model. The record is from RNAcentral. RNAcentral also lists the same sequence under 1 other name. Lineage: Bacteria; Bacillati; Actinomycetota; Rubrobacteria; Rubrobacterales; Rubrobacteraceae.